GAAACCUGGUUCUAGAACCCAGUGCAGAAAAAUUAACAAUAUUGCCAGCUAUUAACCAUUCCCAGGGCUGUGGAACAAGUAAAUUGAAUAAGGAAGGAAAAAUGAUUCCACUCGAUUGGCCUUUCCGGGAAUCCAGUCCAGCUCUAGGUUAUACUGGCCUUGAAGUGCCGCAUCCUCUGGCUAGUGGCCUCUUGACGGAUCGGUGCAUAGAGAUUCCAUCAAAGAAAGCGGAAGCACAAGGAAACUAGUGGGAUGCUGAUGUUUGAAAAGGUGUCAAUAAAGGCUCUCCACUCAAAGAGAGAAACCAAAGCCAGGAGAUAUCGGAUAGCCGCACCUGUGGUAAAGGCCUUCUGCUCUUGGGCAGUUGUAUGCAGGAUCCCUUUUACAUACCUCUACACCUCUGCUUAUUCUGGCACCCACAGAAACAUUACAAGAAUGCAGGGCUUUGCAGCAGUCAGUUCCCCCGCUGGUCUGCUCCGUGUCUCAAGUCCAUCUACACCGAAAGCCUCGUCUCUGAACAGUACAAAGUGGUGGCUAAGGAUAAAAGAAUGGGUGCAGAUGAAACAGAAUUUUCUACCACCCUGAAUAUUCACCCUGCAUUUAAUCUAAAGGCAAAUAUUCCAACAUAAAUUUAUUUUUUAC
Molecule: long non-coding RNA, 642 nt
Filed under: Chinchilla lanigera (long-tailed chinchilla)
Lineage: Eukaryota; Metazoa; Chordata; Mammalia; Rodentia; Chinchillidae
Description: lncRNA (ENSCLAG00000024386.1)
Source: RNAcentral